CAAUAGCGUAUAUUAAAGUUGUUGCAGUUAAAAAGCUCGUAGUUGAAUUUUUGCUUGCCGCCGAUGUCGGAACUUCCGUACGUUCGGCGGCGUGCAUCCUUGGGUGGAACCUGUGUGGCAUUAGGUUGUCGUGCAGGGGAUGCUCAUCGUUUACUGUGAAAAAAUUAGAGUGUUCAAAGCAGGCUUACGCCGUUGAAUAUAUUAACAUGGAAUAAUAAGAUAGGACCUUGGUACUAUUUUGUUGGUUUGCGCACCGAGGUAAUGAUUAACAGGGACAGUUGGGGGUAUUCGUAUUCCAUUGUCAGAGGUGAAAUUCUUGGAUUUCUGGAAGACGAACUACUGCGAAAGCAUUUACCAAGGAUGUUUUCAUUAA
RNAcentral lists this ribosomal RNA (373 nucleotides) under uncultured eukaryote. RNAcentral describes it as "partial 18S ribosomal RNA". It matches the Rfam family "Eukaryotic small subunit ribosomal RNA", at positions 592 to 976 of the family's 1831-position model. The record is from RNAcentral.